AGUGAACGCUGGCGGUAGGCCUAACACAUGCAAGUCGAACGGCAGCACAGUAAGAGCUUGCUCUUACGGGUGGCGAGUGGCGGACGGGUGAGGAAUACAUCGGAAUCUACUUUUUCGUGGGGGAUAACGUAGGGAAACUUACGCUAAUACCGCAUACGACCUACGGGUGAAAGCAGGGGAUCUUCGGACCUUGCGCGAUUGAAUGAGCCGAUGUCGGAUUAGCUAGUUGGCGGGGUAAAGGCCCACCAAGGCGACGAUCCGUAGCUGGUCUGAGAGGAUGAUCAGCCACACUGGAACUGAGACACGGACCAGACUCCUACGGGAGGCAGCAGUGGGGAAUGUUGGACAAUGGGCGCAAGCCUGAUCCAGCCAUACCGCGUGGGUGAAGAAGGCCUUCGGGUUGUAAAGCCCUUUUGUUGGGAAAGAAAAGCAGCAGGUUAAUACCCCGCUGUUCUGACGGUACCCAAAGAAUAAGCACCGGCUAACUGCGU
Molecule: ribosomal RNA, 491 nt
Filed under: uncultured bacterium
Lineage: Bacteria
Description: partial 16S ribosomal RNA
Rfam family: Bacterial small subunit ribosomal RNA
Source: RNAcentral